RNAcentral lists this ribosomal RNA (253 nucleotides) under uncultured bacterium. RNAcentral describes it as "partial 16S ribosomal RNA". It matches the Rfam family "Bacterial small subunit ribosomal RNA", at positions 524 to 776 of the family's 1533-position model. The record is from RNAcentral.
UACGAGUGCCCCAAGCGUUAUCCGGAAUCAUUGGGCGUAAAGGGCGCGUAGGCGGGGAUAAUAGUCAGAUGUGAAAUCCUGGGGCUCAACCUCAGAACUGCAUUUGAAACUGUAUCUCUAGAGGGUAGGAGGAGAAAACGGAAUUCCACAGGUAGCGGUGAAAUGCGUAGAUAUGUGGAAGAACACCGGUGGCGAAGGCGGUUUUCUAUCUUAUUCCUGACGCUGAGGCGCGAAAGCAAGGGGAUCAAACAGG